Molecule: ribosomal RNA, 798 nt
Filed under: uncultured Glomus
Lineage: Eukaryota; Fungi; Glomeromycota; Glomeromycetes; Glomerales; Glomeraceae
Description: SSU rRNA
Rfam family: Eukaryotic small subunit ribosomal RNA
Source: RNAcentral
AUCAACUUUCGAUGGUAGGAUAGAGGCCUACCAUGGUGGUAACGGGUAACGGGGUGUUAGGGCACGACACCGGAGAGGGAGCCUGAGAAACGGCUACCACAUCCAAGGAUGGCAGCAGGCGCGCAAAUUACCCAAUCCCGACACGGGGAGGUAGUGACAAUAAAUAACAAUACGGGGUUCUUUCGGAUCUCGUAAUUGGAAUGAGUACAAUUUAAAUCUCUUAACGAGGAACAAUUGGAGGGCAAGUCUGGUGCCAGCAGCCGCGGUAAUUCCAGCUCCAAUAGCGUAUAUUAAAGUUGUUGCAGUUAAAAAGCUCGUAGUUGAAUUUCGGGAUCAAAUUGUUGGUCAUGCUUCAGUACGCACUGGCAUUAUUGGUUCUUACCUUCUGAAGAACCGCGAUGUCAUUAAUUUGGUGUCGUGGGGAAUCAGGACUGUUACUUUGAAAAAAUUAGAGUGUUUAAAGCAGGCGCACGCUUGAAUACAUUAGCAUGGAAUAAUGAAAUAGGACGUUUGAUUCUAUUUUGUUGGUUUCUAGGAUCGACGUAAUGAUUAAUAGGGAUAGUUGGGGGCAUUAGUAUUCAAUUGUCAGAGGUGAAAUUCUUGGAUUUAUUGAAGACUAACUACUGCGAAAGCAUUUGCCAAGGAUGUUUUCAUUAAUCAAGAACGAAAGUUAGGGGAUCGAAGACGAUCAGAUACCGUCGUAGUCUUAACCAUAAACUAUGCCGACUAGGGAUCGGAUGAUGUUAAUUUUUUAAUGACUCAUUCGGCGCCUUACGGGAAACCAAAGUGUUUGGGUUC